Branchiostoma floridae (Florida lancelet) is the source of this 656-nucleotide long non-coding RNA. RefSeq lists it as uncharacterized. The transcript has 3 exons. The record is from RefSeq and is a predicted model, not a curated record. Lineage: Eukaryota; Metazoa; Chordata; Leptocardii; Amphioxiformes; Branchiostomatidae.
AUUUUAUCCAAUGUGUUUGCCAUGUGUUACUAAUAUCAAUAUAGCUUUAUGACGAUAAGAAAUUAGAAGAUGUCAAGCAGAGAAGGUGAGGUAUAUGCAUGCGUUUAAAACAAAAAGUUCAAAGAUCAAAGGUUAAAGUUCCAUUGCGUACCUGUCCUGGUUGGCUGCCUCCAAGUGACCUAUCCUGUUUUUCAGCGCCAUGCACGUACUGCAGUUGAAAGUGUCAGCACCUGAUUCUAUCUGCCUUGCAUUUUGCGUAUAUUUUGCUAGUAUUUCGCCAUUCCCUUCGUAUUUCGUUUUUUAGUCGGGGCCCUGUUGUCAAGAUGACUAAGAUCAGUACAGGGAAUUCGAAUAUUUCGAGGAAGCUAGACCAAGGAUCUUUCUUCUGUUGCUGUAUCGGCUUUCCCUGUUGCUGUGCUCUCCUUUUCUUAUAUUUGCCAGCAAUUUACAUUACCAGUACCGCAGUAUCAUCUUCGUCGCUAUCGUUCAAGCACACAAUGUGUACGACAACGUCGUCUGAGUAUAGAGGUAUGGUGAGCUGUGCAGGGGUUGACUAUCCCUGUCUCAUUGUGAAAGUCAGCUACAACCCGGUACAGAACGGCACAGAUACAGAAACGGAAGGAUUUCUGUACAACGAGGAGACGGAAAUAAUAGGC